This 255-nucleotide ribosomal RNA is filed under the name uncultured bacterium. RNAcentral describes it as "partial small subunit ribosomal RNA". It matches the Rfam family "Bacterial small subunit ribosomal RNA", at positions 26 to 285 of the family's 1533-position model. The record is from RNAcentral.
AGGACGAACGCUGGCGGCGUGCUUAACACAUGCAAGUCGAGCGGUGAUCCUCCUUCGGGAGGUGAUCAGCGGCGAACGGGUGAGUAACACGUGGGCAACCUGCCCCUCACACUGGGAUAACCUCGGGAAACCGGGCUAAUACCGGAUACGACCCCGAGCGGCAUCUCUUGAGGUGGAAAGCUCCGACGGUGAGGGAUGGGCCCGCGGCCUAUCAGCUUGUUGGUGGGUAAUGGCCUACCAAGGCGACGACGGGUA